UCGAGGGGUAUUGUUCUUCGGAAUAAGAGACCGGCGCACGGGUGCGUAACGCGUAUGUAAUCUACCUUUUGCAGAGGGAUAGCCCAGAGAAAUUUGGAUUAAUACCUCAUAGUAUGUGAGAAUGGCAUCAUUUUCACAUUAAAGUCACAACGGCAAAAGAUGAGCAUGCGUCCCAUUAGCUAGUUGGUAAGGUAACGGCUUACCAAGGCUACGAUGGGUAGGGGUCCUGAGAGGGAGAUCCCCCACACUGGUACUGAGACACGGACCAGACUCCUACGGGAGGCAGCAGUGAGGAAUAUUGGACAAUGGGCGCAAGCCUGAUCCAGCCAUGCCGCGUGCAGGAUGACGGUCCUAUGGAUUGUAAACUGCUUUUGCACAGGAAGAAACAACGCUACGUGUAGCGUCUUGACGGUACUGUGAGAAUAAGGAUCGGCUAACUCCGUGCCAGCAGCCGCGGUAAUACGGAGGAUCCAAGCGUUAUCCGGAAUCAUUGGGUUUAAAGGGUCCGUAGGCGGUUUAGUAAGUCAGUGGUGAAAGCCCAUCGCUCAACGGUGGAACGGCCAUUGAUACUGCUAGACUUGAAUUAUUAGGAAGUAACUAGAAUAUGUAGUGUAGCGGUGAAAUGCUUAGAGAUUACAUGGAAUACCAAUUGCGAAGGCAGGUUACUACUAAUGGAUUGACGCUGAUGGACGAAAGCGUGGGUAGCGA
This 708-nucleotide ribosomal RNA is filed under the name uncultured Bacteroidota bacterium. Its description in RNAcentral is "bacterial SSU rRNA". It matches the Rfam family "Bacterial small subunit ribosomal RNA", at positions 62 to 771 of the family's 1533-position model. Lineage: Bacteria; Pseudomonadati; Bacteroidota. The record is from RNAcentral.